This 314-nucleotide ribosomal RNA is filed under the name uncultured bacterium. Its description in RNAcentral is "partial 16S ribosomal RNA". It matches the Rfam family "Bacterial small subunit ribosomal RNA", at positions 495 to 807 of the family's 1533-position model. The record is from RNAcentral.
GUAUAAGAGACAGCAGUAGCCGCGGUAAUACGGAGGGAGCUAGCGUUGUUCGGAAUUACUGGGCGUAAAGCGCACGCAGGCGGUUAUUCAAGUCAGAGGUGAAAGCCCGGGGCUCAACCCCGGAACUGCCUUUGAAACUAGAUGACUAGAAUCUUGGAGAGGUCAGUGGAAUUCCGAGUGUAGAGGUGAAAUUCGUAGAUAUUCGGAAGAACACCAGUGGCGAAGGCGACUGACUGGACAAGUAUUGACGCUGAGGUGCGAAAGCGUGGGGAGCAAACAGGAUUAGAUACCCGCGUAGUCCCUGUCUCUUAUAC